GACGAACGCUGGCGGCGUGCCUAAUACAUGCAAGUAGAACGCUGAAGGAGGAGCUUGCUUCUCUGGAUGAGUUGCGAACGGGUGAGUAACGCGUAGGUAAUCUGCCUGGUAGCGGGGGAUAACUAUUGGAAACGAUAGCUAAUACCGCAUAAUAGUAGAUGUUGCAUGACAUUUGCCUAAAAGGUGCAAUUGCAUCACUACCAGAUGGACCUGCGUUGUAUUAGCUAGUUGGUGGGGUAACGGCUCACCAAGGCGACGAUACAUAGCCGACCUGAGAGGGUGAUCGGCCACACUGGGACUGAGACACGGCCCAGACUCCUACGGGAGGCAGCAGUAGGGAAUCUUCGGCAAUGGACGGAAGUCUGACCGAGCAACGCCGCGUGAGUGAAGAAGGUUUUCGGAUCGUAAAGCUCUGUUGUAAGAGAAGAACGAGUGUGAGAGUGGAAAGUUCACACUGUGACGGUAUCUUACCAGAAAGGGACGGCUAACUACGUG
RNAcentral lists this ribosomal RNA (495 nucleotides) under uncultured bacterium. RNAcentral describes it as "partial 16S ribosomal RNA". It matches the Rfam family "Bacterial small subunit ribosomal RNA", at positions 28 to 507 of the family's 1533-position model. The record is from RNAcentral.